This is a non-coding RNA of Myotis davidii, 35 nucleotides long. Lineage: Eukaryota; Metazoa; Chordata; Mammalia; Chiroptera; Vespertilionidae. The record is from Rfam.
CUGUCUCUUGCUUCAACGCUGUUUGGAUGGAACAG